CUAGAUGCUUAGGGGACGAAGCAGAAAACCACAGUUUAUUUAUUUACAUGAAAAUGGAAACUUUGUCUUUUCUUUUUACCGAAGUGAGGAAAAGAAGGAAAGGAAGAAGAAAGAAAGAAAGAAAAUAGGAUGUGUCAAAACUGUAGUAUGUUCCCCUCCGCAUCUACAGCACGCAGAGUUGUUACGUGAGGGCUCCGGGGUUGGCAAACGGCAGAGAUACACAUUUUGCACCCACGGGAAAAGAAAGGGGGGCAAUGGGGGGAGAGCAGAGCAAACGCACCGCGUCAGCAGCGCGCUGCUGGGAACGAGCCGAGCCUCUGACGUCACGUAACCCCCAUUCACAUCAACCGGCCCCGAAGUGUGACGCUCAGUGUCCGGAGCCUUCGGACAGAACCACCCGCACCCCUCAGCCCAGCGGGGGCCGAAGUUGGGGCAGCUCUGUUGUCGGUGUAUUUCGGGGGGAGGGGGGGGGGGAUGAAUGGGUUUAAUCGGAAGGAUAAAUGUUGUAUCAGCUAAGGUUGGCCCCCACCCUCCUUCGUCACCGAAGGGCUGGGAUGCAGCACUUUUAAUUAGAAAUUAAUUAAUGAGCAGCUGCUUCUUCCCACCCCACAGUAAUAAUUAGUCUCAAUUACAAACAAGACAUAUGAAGGGACACACGACUGAGUCUUCAUUUAAGAUUUAAUCAACAGUUAAAAUUAGCGCUAACGCUGCCAAUAAAGCCCGUGACAUACGGCCUGCGUUCUUUUUCCAGCCUCUCUUCCCGACGUGUGAUUACAGCUGGAAGACUGCCUCCCAGAAACGAAUCUGCCCACACUGACAGCUCGAUUGAGGGUGAUUGAUGACUAUCUGGAGACCACAGUACACAUAAUAUAAUAUCUGCUGCGUAAUUGCUUUAAUUUACAGAUGAAAAUAGUACUUCUCGCACGGAGUUAGACUACGGCGCGCGGCUCUUUAUGGCGCUUUGGAGUGUUUGCAAAUAAAGGCUAUCAGAUGCAGCA
Molecule: long non-coding RNA, 998 nt
Organism: Gallus gallus (chicken)
Lineage: Eukaryota; Metazoa; Chordata; Aves; Galliformes; Phasianidae
Exons: 2
Source: RefSeq, a predicted model, not a curated record